This 639-nucleotide ribosomal RNA is filed under the name uncultured Alphaproteobacteria bacterium. RNAcentral's name for it is "bacterial SSU rRNA". It matches the Rfam family "Bacterial small subunit ribosomal RNA", at positions 8 to 693 of the family's 1533-position model. The record is from RNAcentral. Lineage: Bacteria; Pseudomonadati; Pseudomonadota; Alphaproteobacteria.
AGAGUUUGAUCCUGGCUCAGAACGAACGCUGGCGGCAUGCCUAACACAUGCAAGUCGAACGAACUCUUCGGAGUUAGUGGCGCACGGGUGCGUAACGCGUGGGAAUCUGCCCUUGGGUACGGAAUAACUCAGGGAAAUUUGUGCUAAUACCGUAUAAUGACUUCGGUCCAAAGAUUUAUCGCCCAAGGAUGAGCCCGCGUAAGAUUAGCUAGUUGGUGGGGUAAAAGCCUACCAAGGCGACGAUCUUUAGCUGGUCUGAGAGGAUGAUCAGCCACACUGGGACUGAGACACGGCCCAGACUCCUACGGGAGGCAGCAGUGGGGAAUAUUGGACAAUGGGCGAAAGCCUGAUCCAGCAAUGCCGCGUGAGUGAUGAAGGCCUUAGGGUUGUAAAGCUCUUUUACCCGGGAUGAUAAUGACAGUACCGGGAGAAUAAGCUCCGGCUAACUCCGUGCCAGCAGCCGCGGUAAUACGGAGGGAGCUAGCGUUGUUCGGAAUUACUGGGCGUAAAGCGCGCGUAGGCGGUCUUUUAAGUCAGAGGUGAAAGCCCAGUGCUCAACACUGGAAACUGCCUUUGAAACUGGGAAGACUUGAAUCAUGGAGAGGUCAGUGGAAUUCCGAGUGUAAGGGAAAUUCGAAU